This 274-nucleotide ribosomal RNA is filed under the name uncultured bacterium. Its description in RNAcentral is "partial 16S ribosomal RNA". It matches the Rfam family "Bacterial small subunit ribosomal RNA", at positions 523 to 796 of the family's 1533-position model. The record is from RNAcentral.
AUACGGAGGGGGUUAGCGUUGUUCGGAAUUACUGGGCGUAAAGCGUACGUAGGCGGACUGGAAAGUUGGGGGUGAAAUCCCGGGGCUCAACCCCGGAACUGCCUCCAAAACUUCCAAUCUAGAGAUCGAGAGAAGUGAGUGGAAUUCCAAGUGUAGAGGUGAAAUUCGUAGAUAUUUGGAGGAACACCAGUGGCGAAGGCGGCUCACUGGCUCGAUACUGACGCUGAGGUACGAAAGCGUGGGGAGCAAACAGGAUUAGAAACCCCAGUAGUCC